UCUCUCUCUGUUCCUCUUUCUCUCUCUCUGAGUCUCUCUCUCUCUCUCUCUCUCUGUCUCUCUCUGCCCAAUGACUGUCAUCCUUGAUCAGCCAAAUCACAGUUAAUAAAGAUCUUCAGAUUGAAACAGAUUCAAGUGAAGUGGAUGUAAUGAAACAAGCAAUAGUGAUCUGCAUCGGUACACACUGAGGAUUCGCUGGACCACACAUCUUAGUCAAACUCAUCUUUGCUCCCCGAUGCUGGGCGUUGUCAUGGACACACAUCUUAGGCAAACUCAUCUUUGCUCCCCGAAGCUGGGCGUUGUCAUGGACACACAUCUUAGGCAAACUCAUCUUUGCUCCCCGAUGCUGAGUGUUGUCAUGGACACACAUCGUCAUGGACACAUCUUAGUCAAACUCAUCUUUGCUCCCCGAUGCUGGGUGUUGUUGUCAUGGACACACAUCUUAGUCAAACUCAUCUUUGCUCCCCGAUGCUGGGUGUUGUCAUGGCAAACUCAUCUUUGCUCCCCGAUGCUGGGUGUUGUCAUGGAUUCUGGGUUCUGCUGUCGUUACUGCCCUGCGGAGAAAAGAACUGUGAAGGCAACUGUGUCAACAUUCACUUUGUCAUCUUCAAGAAUCAGGGUGACUGAUCUGGUGGAAAGUCGUAUUUAAGAUGCUGUUCCGAAGUUCCAAGGCAUCUCUAUAGAGGAGCUUGACUAGCAUUACACUUGAUUAGCAUCACAGAGCGCUAACUUCAGGGCUGCCUCCACACCUGGCUAUCGGAGGGGACAGCCCCAGAUGAUCAGCACCAGGUGACAGUAAAUGGCUAUCAGAGGGAACAGCACCAGGUGAUAGUGAAUGGCUAUCAGAGGGGACAUCACCAGGUGAUAGUGAAUGGACAGUCUUUCCCUCAACCCAGUGCCCAUGCUAAUCCGUCAAUCAGUGCUCAAUGUUUCUUGUAGGUCUGCUAAGCUGCUAACAGCAGCAGGUGUGUGGGUUUGAAUACUAUGGCGUAUACAUACUGAUAUAAUGUGUGUAGGUUCAGCUAGAUGCAUCUCCUGUGUGAAUAAAUAUAAAUAUAAAUAACUCCAAGGCGACGUAUGAAGAUGAAAUGUUGUUGUUCCUUUACAGAAAGCUGAGAGUGCAGACAAUGAAAGCGAGGGUCCUGAUUGGCUGAAUGCUAGUUCCCACUGACAUCACAGACAUUGUAACAGCACGGGUGGUAUAACCUUUCCUUCAACCAAUCAGAGCCCACCACUGGUGCCCCGUGUCGUUGCUUUAGACGCAUCCCCCAGUAAAGACCCAUUUGGAUGCAGCCCAGUAAUGUUCAGGUCCAGCCUCGGAGUCCACACGUGUCCCUCUUAGCCAUCCAUACAAACACACACACGCCCACCUUCGCUGCUCUGGCAACCAAUCAAAUCCUCUCACACGAGUCACCCAGCCAGUAGACAUGUAGCCAGCGGGUGGUCUUGUUUUAAAUGCUGCUGUGACCCAGUACAUGUGCUGACUGGGCAUAUGUAGCCAUUGUCUCGAUGGUUACCUUGCACACACACACACACAGCAGGUCGCUGGGGAAACGCCACAAUGCAGACACUGCUCCUGCAGGCCACCACGGGGCACUGUUGUAAACAUGGGAUACAGUACAGCAUUCUACCUUCUUUCACACUAAAUCACAAGUGUAAUUCUCACACUGAAGUAUGAAAAGUGUAUAUUUGCGUAAUAGUACUACUACUACUACUACUUCUACUACUACUACUACUACUGUUAUUUUUACAGCUGAUGUCUUGAAUAUAUUCCAACAGAUGUUAUGUGCUACUGUGGCAGCUAAACGUUCUGUAUGUGUGUAUGUAUGUACGUACGGAUGUAUGUGUGUAUUUUAUGCCAAGUGUGAGACAAUGCUGACAAAUCAAGUCUUCAUUUUCUUUUGGUUAUUUAAAUGUCAUGUAUGAAACACAACUAAGUAAAAUUGUUUUUAGAUUAAAAAUCAA
This is a long non-coding RNA of Clupea harengus (Atlantic herring), 1965 nucleotides long. RefSeq lists it as uncharacterized. The record is from RefSeq and is a predicted model, not a curated record. NCBI's taxonomy places the organism in Eukaryota, Metazoa, Chordata, Actinopteri, Clupeiformes, Clupeidae. The transcript has 2 exons.